CCAAGCUCGUAGGACUCAGCAUCCCUCGCUGUCUCGGAACUCCCAAGCCCAGCGCUCCAUCGGUUUGCUUUUGGGAUUCCCUUAACGCACAUCCUGGGGAGUGGAGGGGCUCUGAUGGAGAAAAGGCGGCAGUCUCCCCCUGAGAAGGAGUGGCAGUGCCGGGAGUCUGUCAGCCCUGGAAGGUCCGACGGGCGUCCCACCCAGCGGAGGGACCCAGGGCAGUGGCCGUGCUUCCUCCCGGUGACGUCCUCCUUGUGCUGACCUCCGUCGGCUUGGCCUCGUUUGAACUGGCAGCAAAGCCGUGCAGCCUGGUGCCAGAUCAAGUUGUGCCUGCAAGAUAUGCGCUCAGGGAAAUAAAAGUGAAACUGAGGCAACAGGACUUGUAAGAAGACCUGGCCAGGGGCACGAUUACGCACGUGAACGUAACGUGGCUACUUCUCCACGUCAUGCUGGAAUUGUUUC
Globicephala melas (long-finned pilot whale) is the source of this 462-nucleotide long non-coding RNA. RefSeq lists it as uncharacterized. NCBI's taxonomy places the organism in Eukaryota, Metazoa, Chordata, Mammalia, Artiodactyla, Delphinidae. The record is from RefSeq and is a predicted model, not a curated record.